RNAcentral lists this long non-coding RNA (189 nucleotides) under Junco hyemalis (dark-eyed junco). Its description in RNAcentral is "lncRNA (ENSJHYG00000007758.1)". Lineage: Eukaryota; Metazoa; Chordata; Aves; Passeriformes; Passerellidae. The record is from RNAcentral.
UGGGUAGUGAGUGAACAAUCAAAACAUAGUAUAAGUUAUAUUUGUAUUUUUACCAUUUAUUCUUUUGCAGUAAACAACCUAUGAACUUCAGGAAAUUCACAGGCUUCUUCAAUGAAGAAAGCAGCUGGCAGGGGGUGACAGAAUUUUAGAGGAUUAAUCAACAACCACUAGCAGUAGACCUGUACUUGC